RNAcentral lists this long non-coding RNA (4290 nucleotides) under Daucus carota (carrot). RNAcentral's name for it is "long non-coding RNA (DCAR_LNC003630)". The record is from RNAcentral. Lineage: Eukaryota; Viridiplantae; Streptophyta; Magnoliopsida; Apiales; Apiaceae.
CUACCUGUGCUUGCUCUAUAGCUACAAGUUUUUGUUCUUCCAAAAAUGUGAUAUUACUCACUGCUGCUAAUCUCAGAUCUUCAAUUGUUUUCGACGUUACUAAGUACUCGACCAUAGCUUCGAUCCUUUGCUUGAAGAGGCCCUCAAGGUCCUCGACUUCUCUAGAAAUUCUUUGCUCUAGAUCUGACAUUUCUAUGUUUUCUUUUUGUAUUGAACCUGUAGAAGUUAGAGAGGGUUCAAGCGUAGACCUUGCCUCCUCAAGCUUGCUUUCUAACACAUUAACAUUCUGCUUUACGUUAACUAUGUCACCCUCCAAUGAACUUGGAUUAGCAUCCUGAAUCACAUCACUGAAGAAGAAUAUAUCAUCUUUUCCGAUUUCCUUAAAUUUCUGAACUUCUGCACAGUAGAAAGAGGUAAAAUAAGCCUCAUGACAAAAAAAACUAGAGUCGAAGAAAUUAAUUUCAUGGAAGUAAAAAAAGGGAAAGGGGUGUAAAAAGAAGUUAAUGAAAAAAGAUUUCCAGAUCAUAAUGGAAAAAGCUUAAAUUUGGACAAUAUUAAUUGCCGCUCAUUUGGGCGCCUAUGAUACUAGAGAAAUGCUACGCUUACAAAAAACGCUACAGAAAAUACUUACAGAAUGAUGUGGCAGCUCUAGCUGGACGGAGCAUUUAAGAUGUUGUCUGCCACUUACCUACUUAUCAGUCAUUAUCACAUUUAUCUUUUUUUUAUUUUCAUAUGCUGUUAUCUUUUUUGUUUUGUUUGUACUUCCAAUAUUUUUAUUUUCUGUUAAACCUAAAAUAUUUCAAAUUUUCAAAUUAAUAUUUAUUAUUUUAAAUUUCUUAUUUAAAUAACCCAUAUUUACAUAAACAUGUGUAUUUGUAUAUCAUAAAUAAUGAAAAUGAAGAGUAUACUUUAAAUGUUUCCCAUGUGAUUUUUUGAUGAAAUAAAUAAAUAAUUUCAAAAAUAUAUACUUUAUACGAACUAUAUAUUUAUUUUUAUUUUGUUUUUUUUGUGUAUUUCACCUUUUAAUUUUCAUUAUAUUUUCCUUUUAAAUUAUUUAUGUCAUUUAUUUUGNGAUUUGGAUGGAAUAGUGACUAGGGUUUACAACUUGCACGAGAAUGUUAAAUUUAAGGUGCAUAUUGUCACGUUUUAAAGUUCAGAUAUUAAACUGCGUUGCAAAUCUAGGAGUUACAAAGUGUAAUUAACUCUUCUUUUAUAUUCGACGAACCCUCCUAAUCGGAGUAGUUGUUCAUAUUCGAUGAACAGGCUCCUACCAUCUCAGUCCACCCUCCCUCACUUUCUUGAAAAUCGGUUCCACAUGCAACACUCAGCUAAAAACAUCAUUUGGAUUUUGAUCCAUCAUCGUACAACCACAAAUUCAAAAUAACUACGCAUGUUUACAAUCUCUAACCUACACUCUUCUAACUUUCUCAUUGACUAACAUUCAGAACUACACACUAAUAUAAGUGUGAAUGUUACUCUAUAAAAUUUAUGGAUAUUUCUAAUGUGUGCCCAAGGGCACACAAUAAGCACCUGUGACAGUUCUCCAUUUAAACCAUCAUGUCUUGAUACGGUGAACUAAUGUCUUAACAUUCUUAAUAACGCAUGUCCUAAGGGCAAACUCAGCAGUGAUCCAAAGAUCCAAAUUUGGGGCAGAUUACCCCAAAUUCUCCUCCAGCAGUGAUCCAAAAAGUGAUCCAAAUUUGGAUCAGUGAAUAGUACUGAUCCAAAUUUGGAUCACCACUGUUCACUGAUCCAAAUUUGGAUCACCUACUUUAUUAUAAAAUAAUGAUUUUGUUAUUUGUAUAUCUUUCGUUUAUCAGACUUAAAAUUAAUUUGUGAUUAUUAAUAUUUAAUUAAUAAUAGUUUAUAAUUAAUGAUUAAUAAAAUUGAUGUUUUAGUACAAACUUAGAAUAAUAGGAAAGCAAAUUUCAUUGAAAUUAAAAAAAGAGUCCAUUACAUGCAUAAAAUAAAAAGUACAUAAAAUGCAUAAAAUAAAAUUACAAACUAACUAGAAAACAGUACGAUAAAUAUAAAUUUUGAUUUAGUCGAACAGAUUAUUUCUGUUUUCUCCAAUAUAAUCAAAAUAUUGUCCAUAGCUAUUCGUAUCAUUUUGAAAUCCUUGAGUUUCAUCUUCAUUUCCUUAAUUUUGAGAUACUUUGAUCGAUGUUAAAAAAAUAAAUAAUUAAUUAAUUAAAUUAAAUAUAAUAUAAGUAGUUAAGAAUGAUUAAAAAUUAAAUUCAAUUUAAAAUUUAUGUAAUAUAAUAUACAAAAAGUAAUUUGGAUCAAAAUUUGGAUCACGCUGCUGGAGUUGGUCAGAAAUUUGGAUCAGAAUUUAGAUCAGUUGGUGAUCCAAUUUUGGAUUUUUGGAUCACAACUGCUGGAGAUGGCUUAACAUUCUUAACAAUAUCCUCGUCAUUCUAUACGAUAGAUCCCAUGUACUUGAAAUUCUGCCAUAUGACCAUUACCUCAUUCCCCGUUACCUCUCUGUUGUAACUAGUUUAAAAAUACUCAAUUUUCGAACGAACGAAAAUCUUUUAUUUCUGAUAAUCUAUGCCGCUGUUAUGAUUUUGCUUUAACUGUCAUGCUAGACUCCGUCACUGAUACAAUAUUAUCAACAAAAAAAUUACAUCAUGAAACAUGAUCUCGAAUUCUCUCGAAUCCCUUAAAUUAAAAGUAUAAUGAAGCAUAUUUCUUGUCUAUUUUGUUGAGGUCUGAGGCAAAAUUUUAUAAACUCUUACAUAUAAUUUUAUUAAAAUACUAGCCUUUAACCCGUGCAAAGCACGGGCGAGUAUAGAAUUCGUAAUUUAUUAAUUAUAAUUUAAAAUUUUAACAUUAUCUUGUUAGUAUUUUAGAAUUGAUGAAUUAGAUUUUAACCAGAUUAUAUUUACCAACUGAUUAUAUUUUUUGGACGACUACAAAUUAUACCAUUGUCGGUUUAUUAUAAUAUAAUAUAUAAAUUAUAUUUGAAAGAAUAAUGGUGGAGUUUUUAUCUUGUACAACAUCUCAAGUGUUUGUAAUUUAAACGGUAUAAAACUCUUUAAUAUUAUUGUAAAAGUAAGAGAAGUUUACGUGUGACAAAUUUCUGAUUACAAAGGAGAUGACCAAACCAAAAUUUUGUACGACUACAAAUUAUACAUAUGUUGACUUAUUAUAAUAUAGUAUAGUAUAGAUAGUAUAGAUAUAUCAGUCCUUUUAAGUUAAAUAUGACAUAAUUAUUAAUAUAUAACUAAUAAUUGUGAAUGUUACUUGGAUAUGCCCCAGAGAAAGAGAGAUUUUUGUUUCAUGGGAACAAAUUAGAUUAAGAUUUAGUAUUCUACAAAAAAAACAAUUUACUCGGUAAGAUGUAUGAGAUUUCUGUCUCAUGUAAUAAAAUUGAAAACUCAAAGACUCGUACGUAAUUUCAAAUACUCACACAUAAUAUUGAAAAUUCAAUUUUCGUUAACUUAAACUUAUUAUAUAUAUAUAAUAAGUAGAGUUAAUAAAAUUUUUCACUGCUGAAAUAUUAAUUAAUAAAUUUUAUAUUUUUUUAGCUAAUAUAUUUUGACGUGUGUAAUUGCAGUCUUACAGAAGUACAAUGUGGAGGCAUCUUGUGCACAAGGAUCAAUUUUCUUAUUAUUAACUUACCAUAUAAAGUAUAAAAAUUCUAUAACCAAGAUUAAGAAAUACAAUGUAUAUUAAUCCGUAUACCACACUACAUGAACAAACAAGUACAUUAGCUCCUCCAGGGAUGCCAAGUAUAUUGAAAAACAAAACAAAAACAAACAAAAACAAAAAUAUUAGGUUGGUACAUUCUCAGUGUAGCAAGGCACCAACUGCAAAACAAAGAACCAAAGUGCUACACAAAGUAGAACAAACUGUAUAAAGAAAAGUAGAGCAAAGUUACAUGUUCUCUUCUUCAGCUUCAUGUUUUCACCCGUUUCUAUUUGUGUUUCUAACUUGUCCACUCCUCUUUUGGGCAUGCUCGCUUGGUAUCCUACACUUUCAGAGAAGCUAACUACCUGUGCUUGCUCUAUAGCUACAAGUUUUUGUUCUUCCAAAAAUGUGAUAUUACUCACUGCUGCUAAUCUCAGAUCUUCAAUUGUUUUCGACGUUACUAAGUACUCGACCAUAGCUUCGAUCCUUUGCUUGAAGAGGCCCUCAAGGUCCUCGACUUCUCUAGAAAUUCUUUGCUCUAGAUCUGACAUUUCUAUGUUUUCUUUUUGUAUUGAACCUGUAGAAGUUAGAGAGGGUUCAAGCGUAGACCUUGCCUCCUCAAGCUUGCUUUCUAACACAUUAACAUUCUGCUUUACG